RNAcentral lists this ribosomal RNA (435 nucleotides) under Triticum aestivum (bread wheat). RNAcentral's name for it is "partial small subunit ribosomal RNA". The record is from RNAcentral. Lineage: Eukaryota; Viridiplantae; Streptophyta; Magnoliopsida; Poales; Poaceae.
AUGCUUAAAAUAGACCUGGCUAAAGCUUUUGAUCGCUUGGAAUGGAAUUUUAUUGUCUCAGCUCUUUCUCGUAAAGGGCUGCAUGGUCAUUUCAUCAAUCUUGUGCAUGCUUGCAUUUCCUCACCUACUUUCACUGUCCUUAUUAAUGGUCAGCCUUCGCCCAAAUUUAAGUCUCGCAGAGGUGUCAGACAGGGUUGUCCUAUGUCUCCUUAUCUUUUUGUUCUUGCUAUCAAUGAGCUUUCCAUCAUGCUUAAUGAAGCUGCGCAGGCCAAUCAUUUGCAAGGCAUCAUGCUAGGACCAAAUUGCCCUGCUAUUCACUCUCUCCUUUUUGCAGAUGAUCUUUUGGUCUGUGGACAGGCUACUGCUCAGGAGGCCCAGACUAUGUCUUGUUUGAUUCAACAUUUUUGUUCCCUCUCUGGUCAAACACCUAAUUGG